This 443-nucleotide ribosomal RNA is filed under the name uncultured bacterium. RNAcentral describes it as "partial 16S ribosomal RNA". It matches the Rfam family "Bacterial small subunit ribosomal RNA", at positions 338 to 795 of the family's 1533-position model. The record is from RNAcentral.
CCUACGGGUGGCAGCAGUGGGGAAUAUUGGGCAAUGGGCGCAAGCCUGACCCAGCAACGCCGCGUGAAGGAAGAAGGCUUUCGGGUUGUAAACUUCUUUUCUCAGGGACGAAGCAAGUGACGGUACCUGAGGACUAAGCCACGGCUAACUACGUGCCAGCAGCCGCGGUAAUACGUCGGUGGCAAGCGUUAUCCGGAUUUACUGGGUGUAAAGGUCGUGUAGGCGGGGACGUAAGUCAGAUGUGAAAACCACGGGCUCAACCUGUGGCCUGCAUUUGAAACUGUGUUUCUUGAGUACUGGAGCGGCAGACGGAAUGCCUAGUGUAGCGGGGAAAUGCGUAGAUAUUAGGAGGAACACCAGUGGCGAAGGCGGUCUGCUGGACAGCAACUGACGCUGAGGCGCGAAAGCGUGGGGAGCAAACAGGAUUAGAUACCCGAGUAGUC